Molecule: transfer RNA, 91 nt
Filed under: Cyanobacteria bacterium UBA8530
Lineage: Bacteria; Bacillati; Cyanobacteriota
Description: tRNA-Thr
Rfam family: tRNA
About the family: Transfer RNA (tRNA) molecules are approximately 80 nucleotides in length. Their secondary structure includes four short double-helical elements and three loops (D, anti-codon, and T loops).
Source: RNAcentral
GCCGGCGUAGCUCAAUGGUAGAGCAGCUGAUUUGUAAUCNNUAUCCUUGGUAAGGAUAAGGUCACCAGUUCAAUUCUGGUGGUGGGCUCCA